RNAcentral lists this ribosomal RNA (492 nucleotides) under uncultured bacterium. RNAcentral describes it as "partial 16S ribosomal RNA". It matches the Rfam family "Bacterial small subunit ribosomal RNA", at positions 29 to 507 of the family's 1533-position model. The record is from RNAcentral.
AGUGAACGCUGGCGGUAGGCCUAACACAUGCAAGUCGAACGGCAGCACAGUAAGAGCUUGCUCUUACGGGUGGCGAGUGGCGGACGGGUGAGGAAUACAUCGGAAUCUACUUUUUCGUGGGGGAUAACGUAGGGAAACUUACGCUAAUACCGCAUACGACCUACGGGUGAAAGCAGGGGAUCUUCGGACCUUGCGCGAUUGAAUGAGCCGAUGUCGGAUUAGCUAGUUGGCGGGGUAAAGGCCCACCAAGGCGACGAUCCGUAGCUGGUCUGAGAGGAUGAUCAGCCACACUGGAACUGAGACACGGUCCAGACUCCUACGGGAGGCAGAAGUGGGGAAUAUUGGACAAUGGGCGCAAGCCUGAUCCAGCCAUACCGCGUGGGUGAAGAAGGCCUUCGGGUUGUAAAGCCCUUUUGUUGGGAAAGAAAGGCAGCAGGUUAAUACCCCGCUGUUCUGACGGUACCCAAAGAAUAAGCACCGGCUAACUUCGUG